CCCGCUGAACUUAAGCAUACCAAUAAGCGGAGGAAAAGAAACUAACAAGGAUUCCCCUAGUAACUGCGAGUGAAGCGGGAAAAGCUCAAAUUUAAAAUCUGGUGGUCUUUGGCUGCCCGAGUUGUAAUCUAGAGAAGCGUUUAUCCGCGUCGGACCGUGUACAAGUCUUCUGGAAGGGAGCGUCGUAGAGGGUGAGAAUCCCGUCUUUGACACGGACGACCGGUGCUUUUGUGAUGCGCUCUCAAAGAGUCGAGUUGUUUGGGAAUGCAGCUCAAAAUGGGUGGUAAAUUCCAUCUAAAGCUAAAUAUUGGCGAGAGACCGAUAGCGAACAAGUACCGUGAGGGAAAGAUGAAAAGCACUUUGGAAAGAGAGUUAAACAGUACGUGAAAUUGUUGAAAGGGAAACGUUUGAAGUCAGUCGCGUCGGCCGAGACUCAACCUUGCUUCUGCUCGGUGCACUUCUCGGUUGACGGGUCAGCAUCAAUUUUGACCGCCGGAUAAAGGUCGGGGGAAUGUGGCAUCCUUCGGGAUGUGUUAUAGACCUCGAUUCGGAUCCGGCGAUUGGGAUUGAGGAACUCGGCGCUUUGCGUCCAGGAUGCUGGCCUAAUGGCUUUAAGCGACCCGUCUUGAAACACGG
This 636-nucleotide ribosomal RNA is filed under the name uncultured fungus. Its description in RNAcentral is "eukaryotic LSU rRNA". It matches the Rfam family "Eukaryotic large subunit ribosomal RNA", at positions 24 to 664 of the family's 3401-position model. Lineage: Eukaryota; Fungi. The record is from RNAcentral.